CUGGGUUGAAGUUGGUGGAGGACUGGUCUGCACCAAGGGUGGCUUCCAGCGCAGGUUCUUCAGUGGAGCAGGGGUGAAGUGAAAAGAGCCAGUUGGACGUUUCUUGAGAAGCAGCCUCACUCCAGCAGGAUUCUCUCGCAAUUUUGCCACAAGAUUUUUUAGUUGCCACCCAACCACAGUUUGUUGGUUAACCUGGAUCACCUCAUCACCAGCAUGAAUCUUCUGAGAUCUAUCAGCAGGGGAAUUUUCUGUGGUGCCUGUAAUUACAUGUAAUCCAUCAUAAGUUGAUUUGAUGUACAUACCCAGGCCUUCCCCAGGUCUAAUGUUGGUUAAAU
Molecule: long non-coding RNA, 335 nt
Filed under: Gallus gallus (chicken)
Lineage: Eukaryota; Metazoa; Chordata; Aves; Galliformes; Phasianidae
Source: RNAcentral